UGCAGUCGAGCGAACAGACGAGGAGCUUGCUCCUCUGACGUUAGCGGCGGACGGGUGAGUAACACGUGGAUAACCUACCUAUAAGACUGGGAUAACUUCGGGAAACCGGAGCUAAUACCGGAUAAUAUAUUGAACCGCAUGGUUCAAUAGUGAAAGACGGUUUUGCUGUCACUUAUAGAUGGAUCCGCGCCGCAUUAGCUAGUUGGUAAGGUAACGGCUUACCAAGGCAACGAUGCGUAGCCGACCUGAGAGGGUGAUCGGCCACACUGGAACUGAGACACGGUCCAGACUCCUACGGGAGGCAGCAGUAGGGAAUCUUCCGCAAUGGGCGAAAGCCUGACGGAGCAACGCCGCGUGAGUGAUGAAGGUCUUCGGAUCGUAAAACUCUGUUAUUAGGGAAGAACAAAUGUGUAAGUAACUAUGCACGUCUUGACGGUACCUAAUCAGAAAGCCACGGCUAACUACGUGCCAGCAGCCGCGGUAAUACGUAGGUGGCAAGCGUUAUCCGGAAUUAUUGGGCGUAAAGCGCGCGUAGGCGGUUUUUUAAGUCUGAUGUGAAAGCCCACGGCUCAACCGUGGAGGGUCAUUGGAAACUGGAAAACUUGAGUGCAGAAGAGGAAAGUGGAAUUCCAUGUGUAGCGGUGAAAUGCGCAGAGAUAUGGAGGAACACCAGUGGCGAAGGCGACUUUCUGGUCUGUAACUGACGCUGAUGUGCGAAAGCGUGGGGAUCAAACAGGAUUAGAUACCCUGGUAGUCCACGCCGUAAACGAUGAGUGCUAAGUGUUAGGGGGUUUCCGCCCCUUAGUGCUGCAGCUAACGCAUUAAGCACUCCGCCUGGGGAGUACGACCGCAAGGUUGAAACUCAAAGGGAAUUGACGGGGACCCGCACAAGCGGUGGAGCAUGUGGUUUAAUUCGAAGCAACGCGAAGAACCUUACCAAAUCUUGACAUCCUCUGACCCCUCUAGAGAUAGAGUUUUCCCCUUCGGGGGACAGAGUGACAGGUGGUGCAUGGUUGUCGUCAGCUCGUGUCGUGAGAUGUUGGGUUAAGUCCCGCAACGAGCGCAACCCUUAAGCUUAGUUGCCAUCAUUAAGUUGGGCACUCUAAGUUGACUGCCGGUGACAAACCGGAGGAAGGUGGGGAUGACGUCAAAUCAUCAUGCCCCUUAUGAUUUGGGCUACACACGUGCUACAAUGGACAAUACAAAGGGUAGCGAAACCGCGAGGUCAAGCAAAUCCCAUAAAGUUGUUCUCAGUUCGGAUUGUAGUCUGCAACUCGACUAUAUGAAGCUGGAAUCGCUAGUAAUCGUAGAUCAGC
Molecule: ribosomal RNA, 1316 nt
Filed under: Staphylococcus epidermidis
Lineage: Bacteria; Bacillati; Bacillota; Bacilli; Caryophanales; Staphylococcaceae
Description: bacterial SSU rRNA
Rfam family: Bacterial small subunit ribosomal RNA
Source: RNAcentral